UAGAAACUAGACGACCCAGACAAUAUUGUUGUUACACAAGCAGAAACUUGUCUUGCAGAUGGAAACCAAAUGCUUAUCACAACAGGAGUAGGCAUACAAGUUAAACCCAUUUGUUCCACUUCUUUUGUUCGACUGAAAGACAAGAACAACCACAUCAUAAAUGAUUGGUACUAAUAAGGCUGGUUUUGAACUCUACAAGAGAUUCCUGCUACAUACCCAUCAAGAACAUCUUGUCGUUGCAUCAUGGUGAGGAAACCAUGGGUGCGCAUCAUCAAAGAGCGGUGCCCUUGAUAUUCACCUUCAGCCUUUCGGAGGACACUUGUUGAUUCAUCUGCAUAAAAAGAAAAUAAAAUUAGCUAGCAGCUUGGCCUUGAUAGGUCUAGAAAUGUGUUCGUACCACAGAAAAAGAGUAUGUAGUUCUUAUUCAUAUGGAAAACUUGAAGCACAUGAGGCUCCACAGCGGAUUUCAUCCCAGCCUGUCUCCUAGAGCAUUUAGCAGGUUCGUUUUCAUUGCAAACAUAAAUUAUAGAAUGAAAUAACAAAUAUAGCAGGCGAUUCUUUAAUUAGUGCAAUGCGAUUUCAUUUGGUCAUAUGAAAGAGGUAUAUCACCACAAUGAUUUCUAAUUUCGUGACCACAUUUCAUAGUUCAAGGGAAUCUUUUUCCCUGUUCUCUCCAUAUCAGUGGUGAACAUCACCAUGCCUGUCACCCAUUGGGACAUAACCCUCCAUCACUGCACACAUCCCCAAUGAGUACCACAUUGUCUGCAUAUAGAAAGGAGGUGAGAUCAUGAUUGAUAAACUAUGCGUGAGAAAUCUAUGUUUGCCUUCCAGUUUAUAGAAGAAUAAGAAAGAGAACUUAGACAGACUUUUAUGCAAUGCUCAUUUAACCUGUGAAGGACAAAAAUAUUCCACCAUCUCUGAAUGACGAACUAAACUAAAUAAGAGAUAUAUACAGUAAAUUCAUUUAAAGUAGAAAAGGGAUCUUCACAUAAGCUUCUUGAUGAGGACAUUUCUUGACUGGAAGGUCACACUUGAACCCAUUACACUUAUAAAACCCAGCCCUAUUGUCAUUUAAAUUGCAAAUUAAUCAUCAAUAAUGCAAAAUAAUUUAUUACCAACAAAUGGUU
Molecule: long non-coding RNA, 1127 nt
Filed under: Triticum aestivum (bread wheat)
Lineage: Eukaryota; Viridiplantae; Streptophyta; Magnoliopsida; Poales; Poaceae
Description: long non-coding RNA (TAES_LNC012391)
Source: RNAcentral